AAGAAACUGUGAGAAAACUGCUUCAAGUUCUUUAUGUUCUUACCUAGCUGUCUGCCUACCCGGCUGAUCCUUAGCAAGCAGAAAGCUUGGGCUGGGACAUACUGUCAUCUAAAAAAAACCACUCAGUAUCUCUCUCUUUCUCUCUUCCCUUCCUUCUUCUUUUCUUUUCUCUCUCUCUCUUUUUUGAAGACUAUCGCAUUUACGUAAUCGUCCUCUUAUUAGGAAGAUUCUGCUGAACUGCUGACAAUGAUGUACAGUAGUGCUUCGCCGGUAUGACGUUUGGGGAAAACGAUUCUGCUGCACCACCACACAAAACCAAUUAGAGAACUAUUUUCUGCGACAGCUUGAACACUUCCUGCAGAGGUGAGGACCAGCUGUUGCUCCUAUCUGAUCACUACCUGGGGGUUUACGUAGAGCAAAUGGAUUCACCAGCCCAUGUCUUGGCAGAGAGAUGCACAUGAGGACUGACUCAGUGAAGAAGCUAGCUCUUCACACACAGAAAGGAAAACUCACCACCACUGCCUACACCUUCAUCAAGGUAAACUGACUGCAGCACUCAAUGGUGUGCUCAAAAUUUUGGGAAAAAAAGAGUUAAAAAGCAAUGCCUAGAUGCAGGAAAUACACUUUUGAGCACACCAAAAAAAGAAAAUUGUAUUUGUUCUUUCAAAAAGAGCAUAUGGCAAGGACUGACUAUAAUGGUGAUGUGUGACAAACUAGUAGAAAUGCUGAUGAGAACGAACCAACCAACCAGUGAAUAUUAAGGCUUCCCUCUCCCUCCUGAAAAAUGCAAUACUUAUACUGAAAGUAUUUUUGUCAAAAACUUCUGGGAUUUUCAAUAAAAAUGCAUUUCUUCUGUAA
Anas platyrhynchos (mallard) is the source of this 858-nucleotide non-coding RNA. NCBI's taxonomy places the organism in Eukaryota, Metazoa, Chordata, Aves, Anseriformes, Anatidae. The record is from RefSeq and is a predicted model, not a curated record.